CGGAAGGAGCGAGCAUUAUUCAUAAUGAUUUGGCGUAAAGCGUUUGUAGGUUGUUUUUUAGUUGAAAAAAAAGCCAAAAGCUUAACUUUUGUAAUUUUUUCAAAACGUAAAAACUUGAGUAUUGAUAGAGGGUAAUGGAACUUCUAUUGUAGGGAUAAAAUCCGUUAAUAAUAGAAAGAAGGCCAAAAGCGAAGGCAAUUACCUGGGUUAUUACUGACACUGAGAACGAAAGCUUGGGUAGCGAACGGGAUU
Molecule: ribosomal RNA, 252 nt
Filed under: uncultured bacterium
Lineage: Bacteria
Description: partial 16S ribosomal RNA
Rfam family: Bacterial small subunit ribosomal RNA
Source: RNAcentral